RNAcentral lists this ribosomal RNA (1548 nucleotides) under human gut metagenome. Its description in RNAcentral is "bacterial LSU rRNA". It matches the Rfam family "Bacterial large subunit ribosomal RNA", at positions 502 to 2070 of the family's 2925-position model. The record is from RNAcentral.
CGUGAGGGAAAGGUGAAAAGAACCCCGGGAGGGGAGUGAAAGAGAACCUGAAACCCUGCACUUACAAGCUGUGGGAGCACAUUACUUGUGUGACCGCGUACUUUUUGUAGAACGGGCCAACGAGUUACGUUAAGUAGCAAGGUUAAGCACUUAAGGUGUGGAGCCGUAGCGAAAGCGAGUCUUAAAUGGGCGUCCAGUUACCCGACGUAGACCCGAAACCAGGCGACCUAUCCAUGAGCAGGUUGAAGCGAAAGUAAAAUUUCGUGGAGGACCGAACCCACGUACGUUGAAAAGUGCGGGGAUGACUUGUGGAUAGCGGUGAAAUUCCAAUCGAGCCUGGAGAUAGCUGGUUCUCCCCGAAAUAGCUUUAGGGCUAGCCUCAAGCUUAGAGAAACGGAGGUAGAGCACUGAAUGUCCUAGGGGGUAUUGCACUUACCGAAGACUAUCAAACUCCGAAUGCCGUUUUCUUUUACUUGGGAGUCAGACUGUGGGUGAUAAGAUUCAUAGUCAAAAGGGCAACAGCCCAGAUCGUCAGCUAAGGUCCCUAAAUGUACGUUAAGUGGUAAAGGAUGUGGGAUUGCACAGACAACCAGGAUGUUGGCUUAGAAGCAGCCACUCAUUUAAAGAGUGCGUAAUAGCUCACUGGUCGAGUGAUUCUGCGCCGAAAAUUUCCGGGGCUAAAACUUACUACCGAAGCUACGGCAUCAUUAUGAUGGGUAGGGGAGCUUUCUAUACGGGUUGAAGCAUGACCGUAAGGACAUGUGGACUGUAUAGAAGUGAGAAUGUUGGCAUGAGUAGCGAGAUGUGGGUGAGAAUCCCACAGGCCGUAAACCCAAGGUUUCCAGGGGAAGGUUCGUCCGCCCUGGGUUAGUCAGGACCUAAGCCGAGGCCGAAAGGCGUAGGUGAUGGACAACAGGUUGAUAUUCCUGUACCACCAAUAACCGUUUGAGAAAUGGGAUGACACAGUAGGAUAAGCUAACCGCACUGUUGGUUAUGUGCGGGCAAGUAUUGAGGCAGUUCCGAUAGGCAAAUCCGUCGGAAUAAUGCUGGGGUACGAUGCGGAGCGAAAUUUAGUAGCGAAGUAGCUGAUUUCACACUGUCGAGAAAAGUCUCUAUCGAGGUUAAAGGUGCCUGUACCGCAAACCGACACAGGUGGGUGAGGAGAGUAUCCUAAGGCCAGCGAGAGAACUGUUGUUAAGGAACUCGGCAAAAUGACCCCGUAACUUAGGGAGAAGGGGUGCCUUCGAAAGAAGGCCGCAGAGAAUAGGCCCAAGCGACUGUUUACCAAAAACAUAGGUUUCUGCUAAGUCGCAAGACGAUGUAUAGGAGCUGACGCCUGCCCGGUGCUGGAAGGUUAAGGGGAUCUGUUAGAGCAAUCGAAGCAGUGAACUUAAGCCCCAGUAAACGGCGGCCGUAACUAUAACGGUCCUAAGGUAGCGAAAUUCCUUGUCGGGUAAGUUCCGACCCGCACGAAAGGCGUAAUGAUUUGAGCGCUGUCUCGACAAUGCAUCCGGUGAAAUUGAAGUACCAGUGAAGAUGCUGGUUACC